RNAcentral lists this ribosomal RNA (468 nucleotides) under uncultured bacterium. Its description in RNAcentral is "partial 16S ribosomal RNA". It matches the Rfam family "Bacterial small subunit ribosomal RNA", at positions 28 to 507 of the family's 1533-position model. The record is from RNAcentral.
GACGAACGCCGGCGGCGUGCUUAACACAUGCAAGUCGAACGGAAAGGCCCUGCUUUUGUGGGGUGCUCGAGUGGCGAACGGGUGAGUAACACGUGAGUAACCUGCCCCUGACUUUGGGAUAACUUCAGGAAACUGGGGCUAAUACCGGAUAGGAGCUCCUGCUGCAUGGUGGGGGUUGGAAAGUUUCGGCGGUUGGGGAUGGACUCGCGGCUUAUCAGCUUGUUGGUGGGGUAGUGGCUUACCAAGGCUUUGACGGGUAGCCGGCCUGAGAGGGUGACCGGCCACAUUGGGACUGAGAUACGGCCCAGACUCCUACGGGAGGCAGCAGUGGGGAAUAUUGCACAAUGGGCGGAAGCCUGAUGCAGCAACGCCGCGUGCGGGAUGACGGCCUUCGGGUUGUAAACCGCUUUCGCCUGUGACGAAGCGUGAGUGACGGUAAUGGGUAAAGAAGCACCGGCUAACUACGUG